GUGGGGAAUAUUGGACAAUGGGCGCAAGCCUGAUCCAGCCAUGCCGCGUGAGUGAUGAAGGCCUUAGGGUUGUAAAGCUCUUUCGUCAGGGAAGAUAAUGACGGUACCUGAAGAAGAAGCCCCGGCUAACUUCGUGCCAGCAGCCGCGGUAAUACGAAGGGGGCUAGCGUUGCUCGGAAUCACUGGGCGUAAAGCGCACGUAGGCGGCUUUCUAAGUCAGGGGUGAAAUCCUGGAGCUCAACUCCAGAACUGCCUUUGAUACUGGAGAGCUUGAGUUCGGGAGAGGUGAGUGGAACUGCGGGUGUAGAGGUGAAAUUCGUAGAUAUUCGCAAGAACACCAGUGGCGAAGGCGGCUCACUGGCCCGAUACUGACGCUGAGGUGCGAAAGCGUGGGGAGCAAACAGGAUUAGAUACCCGGGUAGUCC
Molecule: ribosomal RNA, 425 nt
Filed under: uncultured bacterium
Lineage: Bacteria
Description: partial 16S ribosomal RNA
Rfam family: Bacterial small subunit ribosomal RNA
Source: RNAcentral